CAGCCGCCGCGGGAAAACGUAGGGCGCAAGCGUUAAUCGGAAUUACUGGGCGUAAAGCGUGCGCAGGCGGUUUGUUAAGACAGAUGUGAAAUCCCCGGGCUCAACCUGGGAACUGCAUUUGUGACUGGCAAGCUAGAGUAUGGCAGAGGGGGGUGGAAUUCCGCGUGUAGCAGUGAAAUGCGUAGAUAUGCGGAGGAACACCGAUGGCGAAGGCAGCCCCCUGGGCCAAUACUGACGCUCAUGCACGAAAGCGUGGGGAGCAAACAGGAUUAGAUACCCCCGUAGUCCCUGUCUCUUAUAC
Molecule: ribosomal RNA, 301 nt
Filed under: uncultured bacterium
Lineage: Bacteria
Description: partial 16S ribosomal RNA
Rfam family: Bacterial small subunit ribosomal RNA
Source: RNAcentral